Molecule: long non-coding RNA, 1664 nt
Filed under: Homo sapiens (human)
Lineage: Eukaryota; Metazoa; Chordata; Mammalia; Primates; Hominidae
Description: HSALNT0247879
Source: RNAcentral
GUCUUCUGUUAUUCAAGAGCCCCUUUCUCUCACAUGGGUGUUUAUGCUGAGGAGGUGACUUAGGGUGGGGCCGCUAGAUAGCCCCAGGAUAAAGCUGGUGGCCAGAAAGACCCUGUGAUCAGAGAGAUGGGACUUCCAGCCCCAUCCACCAACCUCCGAGAAGGGGAGCAGGGCUGAAGAUUAAUUUCUAUCAACCUCUUGAGCAAUGGAGAUUUGAUGAGCUUUUAGGCAUCAGGCAAGAGCCUACCAAGGAGUUUGUGAGUUUUUAAAAAGGUUUUUACUUCGAGUGACAAGGUCAGCAAUAGAACACUCUCACACCAUUAAGAUCCUAACUGGUUAAAAGCCUUACAGUGAUAUUCAGAAGCUACUUUUCAGAAGAAACCAACCAACAGCAAAUGAAAUCAGAUUUCUUGAGGAGAGCCCUGGGAGGCAGGUGGAUUAAUGGGGAUCAUCUUAUUGGAAAAGCAAGAAAACACUCCUGCGAUACAGUCCGGAUGAGUGCAGGUUAUAGAUGAAUCUUUAAGAAGAUGCUGUCAUGUUUAUUACAUCCCAUGGUUUCAAAACAUAUUUCCUCCCCCAGAGGUUCAAAGAGGAAAAAAAAAUUAAGAGCUUCAAAAACAACAGAAUUGCAGGCCUUCAUUUAUUUUUACAGUUCACUGGGUCUGUAAUGUAUUAAACAUGAGAGGCUCCUCUAGACCAGCCUGUUUUUAAUAAGUGUGCCUUGCUAAUUCCCCUGCAUUUGCUUAAUGAACAUGAGAGCUGCAGAGCAGAAUCAGGGUGUUCUUGAACCGCAUGCAGCUAAACACAUGCUCGCUUAGGUGUUUGAUGAAUGCAAAGCUGACGUUUAAGGUGUGCUAAGGGAGAUGUCCAAAAUUAUAGAUGUUCCUAUUAAUUUAUUAAUGCAAUUAAUUAGUCAACAAAUAGUUAUUAACUAUAGCUGCUAUUUAUUGGGAACUUGUUAUGAGCCAAGCCUGUGCUAAAACAUUGUUUAAUCAUCACUGAAUUCCUGAGAAGCAGGAACCAUUAUCUCUACUUUCCCAAAGGCACGAUAACAAUCAGAGACAAGAUUUGACUCCAGACCUGUUUUACUACAGAGCCUCUGCUCUAAAUCAGUCUCAUGCUGAUUUAGAGCCACCAAAUUACAGGGAAAUUCCCUGUUGGAGAAUAUAAAACCAUAUAUCUAUGGCCCCUAACUGCUUGCUAUAAGUUUAUGGUAUCUUCACGUACUAGGGCAUACACAUAAACUGUUAACCAGUGACUCAGGACAGCUUGUCAGCUCCCAGUGAUGGCACGGAAAGUAAGUGCUGCAGCAUUCAAGGGUGCGUGUGAUCCUGUCCUGGAGUUACCAAGAAUGUUUCCAACGGGGAAGAUCAUGAACAGGCUUUCUGGUAGUGGUUUUGGGAGAGGAGGCUUGAAGGCAGCCCAGGCUAAUGUUUUCAUAAGUUCUGGGUAGGUUAGAAGGUGAGGGCAGACAGUCUAAAAGCACCUUUGCAUGUGCUUGCAAAAAUCUAAAGAGAAAAGAUUCAUUUCCAUGGUCACUGUAGUAGCUAACGUAGUUUCAAUCUACGGUAACAUAGAUUUUUAACAUAGUUAGAUAACAUAGUAUUUAACACAGUUCAUAUCUAUGGUAACAAGCCUAUAAUAAAGCUAAUAAUACUACCACC